UGGGGAAUAUUGCACAAUGGAGGGAACUCUGAUGCAGCGACGCCGCGUGAACGAAGAAGGCUUUCGAGUCGUAAAGUUCUUUUAUAUGGGAAGAUAAUGACGGUACCAUAAGAAAAAGCCCCGGCUAACUACGUGCCAGCAGCCGCGGUAAUACGUAGGGGGGUAGCGUUGUCCGGAAUCACUGGGCGUAAAGGGUUCGCAGGCGGAAAUGCAAGUCAGGUGUAAAAGGCAGUAGCUUAACUACUGUAAGCAUUUGAAACUGCAUAUCUUGAGAAGAGUAGAGGUAAGUGGAAUUUUUAGUGUAGCGGUGAAAUGCGUAGAUAUUAAAAAGAAUACCGGUGGCGAAGGCGACUUACUGGGCUCAUUCUGACGCUGAGGAACGAAAGCGUGGGUAGCAAACAGG
RNAcentral lists this ribosomal RNA (403 nucleotides) under bacterium. RNAcentral describes it as "partial 16S ribosomal RNA". It matches the Rfam family "Bacterial small subunit ribosomal RNA", at positions 355 to 776 of the family's 1533-position model. The record is from RNAcentral.